AUAAUGCAAGUCGAGCGGACAGAUGGGAGCUUGCUCCCUGAUGUUAGCGGCGGACGGGUGAGUAACACGUGGGUAACCUGCCUGUAAGACUGGGAUAACUCCGGGAAACCGGGGCUAAUACCGGAUGGUUGUUUGAACCGCAUGGUUCAAACAUAAAAGGUGGCUUCGGCUACCACUUACAGAUGGACCCGCGGCGCAUUAGCUAGUUGGUGAGGUAACGGCUCACCAAGGCAACGAUGCGUAGCCGACCUGAGAGGGUGAUCGGCCACACUGGGACUGAGACACGGCCCAGACUCCUACGGGAGGCAGCAGUAGGGAAUCUUCCGCAAUGGACGAAAGUCUGACGGAGCAACGCCGCGUGAGUGAUGAAGGUUUUCGGAUCGUAAAGCUCUGUUGUUAGGGAAGAACAAGUACCGUUCGAAUAGGGCGGUACCUUGACGGUACCUAACCAGAAAGCCACGGCUAACUACGUGCCAGCAGCCGCGGUAAUACGUAGGUGGCAAGCGUUGUCCGGAAUUAUUGGGCGUAAAGGGCUCGCAGGCGGUUUCUUAAGUCUGAUGUGAAAGCCCCCGGCUCAACCGGGGAGGGUCAUUGGAAACUGGGGAACUUGAGUGCAGAAGAGGAGAGUGGAAUUCCACGUGUAGCGGUGAAAUGCGUAGAGAUGUGGAGGAACACCAGUGGCGAAGGCGACUCUCUGGUCUGU
RNAcentral lists this ribosomal RNA (703 nucleotides) under Bacillus sp. (in: firmicutes). RNAcentral describes it as "bacterial SSU rRNA". It matches the Rfam family "Bacterial small subunit ribosomal RNA", at positions 51 to 737 of the family's 1533-position model. The record is from RNAcentral. Lineage: Bacteria; Bacillati; Bacillota; Bacilli; Caryophanales; Bacillaceae.